This 305-nucleotide ribosomal RNA is filed under the name uncultured bacterium. Its description in RNAcentral is "bacterial SSU rRNA". It matches the Rfam family "Bacterial small subunit ribosomal RNA", at positions 333 to 655 of the family's 1533-position model. The record is from RNAcentral.
UUACUCCUACGGGACGCAGCAGCGGGGGAUAUUGCACAAUGGGGGGAACCCUGAUGCAGCGACGCCGCGUGAAGGAAGAAGUAUCUCGGUAUGUAAACUUCUAUCAGCAGGGAAGAAAAUGACGGUACCUGACUAAGAAGCCCCGGCUAACUACGUGCCAGCAGCCGCGGUAAUACAUAGGGGGCAAGCGUUAUCCGGAUUUACUGGGUGUAAAGGGAGCGUAGGCGGCAGUGCAAGUCAGAAGUGAAAGCCCGGGGCUCAACUCCGGGACUGCUUUUGAAACUGUACAGCUUGAUUGCAGGAGG